Molecule: ribosomal RNA, 254 nt
Filed under: uncultured bacterium
Lineage: Bacteria
Description: partial 16S ribosomal RNA
Rfam family: Bacterial small subunit ribosomal RNA
Source: RNAcentral
UACGUAGGGUGCGAGCGUUAAUCGGAAUUACUGGGCGUAAAGCGUGCGUAGGCGGUUUCAUAAGCUUGAUGUGAAAGCCCCGGGCUCAACCUGGGAAUGGCAUUGAGGACUGUGGAGCUAGAGUGCGGCAGAGGGAGGCGGAAUUCCACGUGUAGCAGUGAAAUGCGUAGAGAUGUGGAGGAACACCGAUGGCGAAGGCAGCCUCCUGGGCCGACACUGACGCUGAGGGCACGAAAGCGUGGGGAGCAAACAGG